RNAcentral lists this ribosomal RNA (571 nucleotides) under uncultured bacterium. RNAcentral's name for it is "bacterial SSU rRNA". It matches the Rfam family "Bacterial small subunit ribosomal RNA", at positions 8 to 548 of the family's 1533-position model. The record is from RNAcentral.
AGAGUUUGAUCAUGGCUCAGGACGAACGCUGGCGGCGUGCCUAAUACAUGCAAGUCGAACGAAACUUUCUUACACCGAAUGCUUGCAUUCACCGUAAGAAGUUGAGUGGCGGACGGGUGAGUAACACGUGGGUAACCUGCCUAAAAGAAGGGGAUAACACUUGGAAACAGGUGCUAAUACCGUAUAUCUCUAAGGAUCGCAUGAUCCUUAGAUGAAAGAUGGUUCUGCUAUCGCUUUUAGAUGGACCCGCGGCGUAUUAACUAGUUGGUGGGGUAACGGCCUACCAAGGUGAUGAUACGUAGCCGAACUGAGAGGUUGAUCGGCCACAUUGGGACUGAGACACGGCCCAAACUCCUACGGGAGGCAGCAGUAGGGAAUCUUCCACAAUGGACGCAAGUCUGAUGGAGCAACGCCGCGUGAGUGAAGAAGGUCUUCGGAUCGUAAAACUCUGUUGUUAGAGAAGAACACGAGUGAGAGUAACUGUUCAUUCGAUGACGGUAUCUAACCAGCAGGUCACGGCUAACUACGUGCCAGCAGCCGCGGUAAUACGUAGGUGGCAAGCGUUGUCCGG